GAUGAACGCUGGCGGCGUGCCUAAUACAUGCAAGUCGAGCGAACGGACGAGAAGCUUGCUUCUCUGAUGUUAGCGGCGGACGGGUGAGUAACACGUGGAUAACCUACCUAUAAGACUGGGAUAACUUCGGGAAACCGGAGCUAAUACCGGAUAAUAUUUUGAACCGCAUGGUUCAAAAGUGAAAGACGGUCUUGCUGUCACUUAUAGAUGGAUCCGCGCUGCAUUAGCUAGUUGGUAAGGUAACGGCUUACCAAGGCAACGAUGCAUAGCCGACCUGAGAGGGUGAUCGGCCACACGGGAACUGAGACACGGUCCAGACUCCUACGGGAGGCAGCAGUAGGGAAUCUUCCGCAAUGGGCGAAAGCCUGACGGAGCAACGCCGCGUGAGUGAUGAAGGUCUUCGGAUCGUAAAACUCUGUUAUAGGGAAGAACAUAUGUGUAAGUAACUGUGCACAUCUUGACGGUACCUAAUCAGAAAGCCACGGCUAACUACGUG
RNAcentral lists this ribosomal RNA (496 nucleotides) under uncultured bacterium. Its description in RNAcentral is "partial 16S ribosomal RNA". It matches the Rfam family "Bacterial small subunit ribosomal RNA", at positions 28 to 507 of the family's 1533-position model. The record is from RNAcentral.